This is a long non-coding RNA of Columba livia (rock pigeon), 312 nucleotides long. RefSeq lists it as uncharacterized. The transcript is spliced from 3 exons. NCBI's taxonomy places the organism in Eukaryota, Metazoa, Chordata, Aves, Columbiformes, Columbidae. The record is from RefSeq and is a predicted model, not a curated record.
UUAGCACCAGGAGCAGCACAAAGAGCAGAGAAUGUGGAAGCUUAACAGCCCAACCUCUUUCUUCAUUACGUUCAAUUAGAUCCUGGAAAUGGAUAUAGCUGCUGAUUACACGAAGAUAAAGAGAAGAAAUCAGGUCCCCAGAGUUUUGGUGAUGGCAAUGGGAGAGAAAAACUUGGGUAAGAAAAGGAAGAAAUAGAGAGUCACUCUCACCAUGGGCCAAAUCCCAAAGUACUGGACAUGCAAAGAGACCUGACUCAGCACUCUCAUCCCCCACCACAACAGCUGCCCUGGAGAUUUGCAAGCAAGGAAAAG